RNAcentral lists this long non-coding RNA (312 nucleotides) under Marmota monax (woodchuck). The record is from RNAcentral. Lineage: Eukaryota; Metazoa; Chordata; Mammalia; Rodentia; Sciuridae.
GGAACUCCCGGCUACCGCUCCCACCAGUGCUGAAAACUGAGGUCUCUUGCACCAGCUACCAGGGGCGUGGCUACCAGAGGGCAAGCAAAUUCGCUGGGGGUUCUCAGCCCCAAGCUCUACAAACUUAGGGUCUGAGGGAAUGGCAAACAGGGAGAGUGUGCCCAGGCGUUCAUGAAAACAGGGCUCCCAGGAGCAGCAGACCUGGCGUGUAGCCAGUAUUGUGGUGAGCAUCACUGGUGAGAGGGCCUGGCUUGAGGAAAAGUGGGGAAGUGACUAGAAAUAAGAGAAGGCCCUAGGCACUCAGGAUUGGAG